UACGUAGGGGGCAAGCGUUGUCCGGAUUCAUUGGGCGUAAAGAGCGUGUAGGCGGCCAGGCAGGUCCGCUGUGAAAACUCGAGGCUCAACCUCGAGAUGUCGGUGGAAACCGUCUGGCUAGAGUCCGGAAGAGGAGAGUGGAAUUCCCGGUGUAGCGGUGGAAUGCGUAGAGAUCGGGAAGAACAUCAGUGGCGAAGGCGGUCUGCUGGGCCGUUGCUGACGCUGAGGCGCGACAGCGUGGGGAGCAAACAGG
This 253-nucleotide ribosomal RNA is filed under the name uncultured bacterium. Its description in RNAcentral is "partial 16S ribosomal RNA". It matches the Rfam family "Bacterial small subunit ribosomal RNA", at positions 524 to 776 of the family's 1533-position model. The record is from RNAcentral.